RNA transcript from Musa acuminata AAA Group (dessert banana), 1396 nucleotides. It is a transcript of the gene named probable lactoylglutathione lyase, chloroplastic, with no coding region annotated. NCBI's taxonomy places the organism in Eukaryota, Viridiplantae, Streptophyta, Magnoliopsida, Zingiberales, Musaceae. The record is from RefSeq and is a predicted model, not a curated record. The transcript has 10 exons.
UGAUGGAUAGAGGCGGAUUCGAGGGAAGAAACGUGAAUUGCUUACGAGGUCGAAGACAGGAUCUCGGCCGGCGGAUGGCGAGGAGUGUUCCCAUGGCGGCCACCUCCUCCAACUCGCACAUCCGACUCGCUGCGCUCCACUCGCCACUCUCCUCCAUCGCCGCCGCCGCCCGGUUCGCUCCCAGCAGUCUCAGCUCCGCCCCACGCCCUAUACAUCUGGAACAUUUGUUUGGAAUAACAACUUCUAGAUUGGUAAGAAAAGCAAAUUGUAUAAAAGCCAGUGUCUCCGGCAACACGACGCAAGCAAGCACUGUUGAUAAAGAAAGCGCUUUUGAGUGGGUGAAAACGGAUAAUCGGAGAAUGCUUCAUGUUGUUUAUCGUGUUGGUGACUUGGAAAGGACAAUAAAAUUCUACACAGAAUGCUUGGGAAUGAAGUUGUUGCGGAAACGUGACAUUCCUGAGGAGAAGUACACUAAUGCCUUCCUUGGAUAUGGACCCGAAGACUCACAUUUUGUUGUUGAACUUACUUACAACUAUGGAGUUGACAAGUACGAUAUUGGAACUGGUUUUGGACACUUUGGUGUUGCAGUUGAAGAUGUUGCCAAGACAGUGGAUCUUAUAAAAGCUAAAGGAGGAAAGGUAACCAGGGAACCUGGCCCUGUAAAAGGUGGCAGAAGUGUGAUUGCUUUUAUCGAAGAUCCUGAUGGUUAUAAGUUUGAGCUUUUGGAAAGGGGCCCAACACCAGAACCCUUGUGUCAAGUGAUGCUUCGUGUAGGAGAUCUUGAUCGUUCCAUAAAUUUCUAUGAGAAGGCAUUUGGUAUGGAGCUUCUUCGCAAAAGAGACAAUCCUGAAUAUAAGUACACUAUAGCGAUGAUGGGAUACGGUCCUGAAGAUACAAACACUGUUUUGGAGUUGACCUACAACUAUGGAGUUACAGAAUAUGACAAAGGGAAUGCCUUCGCACAGAUUGCAAUUGGCACGGAUGAUGUUUACAAGACAGCAGAGGCCAUAAAACUGCAUGGAGGAACGAUCACCCGUGAACCAGGCCCCUUACCUGUCAUUAAUACUAAGAUAACUGCCUGCUUGGAUCCAGAUGGUUGGAAAACUGUAUGAAAGUACAAUCUUUUAGGAUGAUGAAGGAUAACAUUCUGUAAAGGUUAACCAACACACUGUCUUUGUUGACAAUGUAGAUUUUGUUAAAGAGCUGGAGUAUUAAGCCCUUGUUAUCGGACCUACAUCUCAAGGAGCAUCAGUUACUGGACGACAACGGCUGGCUGUCGCCUAACUAAUCUUGUAAAAGACCUACAUCAGAUCUCAGUUUGUAUAUAAAUUGUUUUGCCCACCAUGUUAACGGAAGUACUAAGAUAUGAAUUUCGCACUGCAUCGGAGUUUUGAUA